UACGUAGGGUGCAAGCGUUGCUCGGAAUCAUUGGGCGUAAAGCGCGUGUAGGCGGUUUGUUAAGUCGAGUGUGAAAUCCCUGGGCUCAGCCGAGGAAGUGCAUUCGAAACUAACUGGCUAGAAGACGUAGAGGAAGGUGGAAUUCCAAGUGUAGAGGUGAAAUUCGUAGAUAUUUGGAGGAAUACCGGUGGCGAAGGCGGCCUUCUGGACCGAUCUUGACGCUGAGACGCGAAAGCGUGGGGAGCAAACAGG
Molecule: ribosomal RNA, 252 nt
Filed under: uncultured bacterium
Lineage: Bacteria
Description: partial 16S ribosomal RNA
Rfam family: Bacterial small subunit ribosomal RNA
Source: RNAcentral